CCAACUAAAUGAAAAGGGGAAACAUAAUUAAAAAAUCCACAAACAAAUUAAAACAUUCACCCUCAGCCUCCUCCGAAGGAUUGGUUCCUUAUGAGAAAAAAAUCAUAACAAAUUAAAGCAUAUGCUCGUUGGUUUUAUACUUGCUUUAUCAUUGGCAGUACUUCUCUACCCCAAACAGACUUCACUGAAAAGAGAAAUUAGGGAGUAAGUACAAAAUUCAUUUCUUAAAAGCAUCACAGCUAUGAAUUUGGUUGACACUGCCCUGUUAAUAUGCCAAAGUUGGAGGUGGUUAGUAGAGCAUUUUGAUUCUGCUAUACACGGUGCAAGUUUUAAUGGUUUUUGUCAAUGGAAGUAGAGAAUGGGAAAGCCAGUAACUGGGGCACACAAAGAAAGACAAAACUUUGCAAAAUCAAAGGACCAUUUUGAGUACAAGAUCCUUUUGUCAAAAGCAAUAAAGGCUUCAGUUAUCUUGAGUAUCAUGCAAAAUUCUCAUAAAGAACCUAGAGGCAGGCACCAAACAUAUGGGGGUUAAGGCUUGUACAAAAUUGUUAUAUUUUCCUGUACUUUUUUUUUUUCAUCAGCCAAUCGAAG
RNAcentral lists this long non-coding RNA (591 nucleotides) under Lotus japonicus. RNAcentral describes it as "long non-coding RNA (LJAP_LNC002145)". The record is from RNAcentral. Lineage: Eukaryota; Viridiplantae; Streptophyta; Magnoliopsida; Fabales; Fabaceae.